CCACACAGGAAGCCCAUGAAUCUAAUGAUCAAUCAAAUCCUCUGAAAAAGAAUUCCUAGGAACAUUAUCCAGCAGCCUAUUAUGAGAGAUCAUAGAACAGAACCUUUCAGCAUUCCUUCCUUUCUUCCUCCCUAAUCUCUCCAUCCUCAACAUAAGUAAGAGGGAAAAAGGCUGUCCCUACCCAGCGGUUACAAAAAGAUGCCUUCCUGAUUCAAUUCAGCUAUCCUGCCACCCUAACUACUCCCAUUAAAUCAAAAGGAAGCCAAUCAAGCCGCUCUUGUUCAAGCCCAUUUAAUUAUUGAGGACAACUCCAGGAAAUCUAAGCCACGUCAGCUGAAUCAUAAGGGGUUCACCUGUAAAAUGAAGGGCAGUUAAUUUCUCAGAUAUGAAUUCAUAUUUCAAUCUAUGACCCCAUAAUGUCCACUGGAAAGGUACUUCUUAAUCCAGGAAAACCAAAUGCUGAAAUAAAUACCCCAGAAAGAGAAGCCUAGAAGACCCCAAUGAGAGAAUUCCCAGGAACUGGCUGUUAUUAGCCUAUUAGCAGUUUAACUACAGCAAGAAAGUACUUCUUACAGAAAGGUCCCAGAAGGUCUGUGUGACUAUCUCCAGCCUUAGAUAACAAGGCCAGUUGCGACAGGUCAAGGCCUACC
Long non-coding RNA from Antechinus flavipes (yellow-footed antechinus), 650 nucleotides. RefSeq lists it as uncharacterized. The transcript has 4 exons. Lineage: Eukaryota; Metazoa; Chordata; Mammalia; Dasyuromorphia; Dasyuridae. The record is from RefSeq and is a predicted model, not a curated record.